GGAUGCUGUUAAGGUAGUGCUCAUUUAUACGUUAAUGCAAACGCUUUUGGCCUGUUUGUAUUGGUGGGAAAACUUCGAGAAAGAAGUCGUCCUCCCGGAGGAAUGGCAUGAGAACUUCCGAAUGUCGCGCUCAUCACUACUGUCUCUUUCGGAGUUACUGCAUCCCCUCCAUAGAAGGUCAGACUACUGUCAUGCGGUCGCCGGUCAGUGUAGUUUAAAAAGUUGCCCUCACCCUAUACUAUUUAUCUGAUGAGGGUAGACUACGUAAAACGGCAAACGCAUUCGGCCUGUCUAGAUCGGCUGUUUCAAUAAUAAUCAGCUCGGGGGCGUAUCUAUGCGGGUUCAUGUAAACAGAAACCUUUUGGAAAACGAUCUUGUGUGUACAACGUUAUUUUUGAAAACGGAGGGGCAGAAAUAUUCGUUUCUGUAAAUACCCGGCUAUGUGUAAAUGUGGUCUUAGACUGUUGGACUUGGACUGACUCUGAAAUGUAACUGGAAGCCGUAACAAAUCUAUCCACCCAAGCUACGGAAGUCUAAAGAGAGCAUUUUAUCAUCGUAAACACGUCCAAAUGAAUGUCAUCUUAAAAUGGUUCAGACAUAUAACCUUUGUUUUUAAAGUUGAUUUUAAUACUCCAUUUUAAUGUCAGGGUCAUAUCCCAACAUCAUGAGCUGUCAUCAAGUUAAAGGUGCUUUUCUGUCAUCAAGUUAAAGGUGCUUUUCUGUCAUCAAGUUAAAGGUGCUUUUCUGUCAUCAAGUUAAAGGUGCUUUUCUGUCAUCAAGUUAAAGGUGAUUUUCUGUCAUCAAGUUAAAGGUGCUUUUCUGUCAUAAAGUUAAAGGUGCUUUUCUGUCAACCAGUAGCCCUGCUUUUGUGUCCCUGCCCGUUGGAUAUGGAAGCCAAUGACAAAAAGGCUUUUUAAGGUUCUCAGAGUUGCUUUCACAUGGACUGAGAAGUGAAUGUUAUUUUAUUGAUAUAAAGUCACUAUCUGUGUUUUUAAAUAUGUUGGACUGCCUCCUAUCAAGAAAACAUGAUUUCCUCACGCAUUCACGCACAGACACAAUGGAGCCAGCCUGUCGGGGAAUAGAAUGAAAAACUGUCUCAAAGUCAAAUGCUGUUGCCCAAUAGUUUACGACAUCCCUGAUUUAUGAGUUUGUUUUUUUUCUUUUUUCUUACGCACCCUACCCAGGCACAAACUCUUUUCUUUCCCUGACAGGGCAUGGCAAGGCGUUGCACUUCCUUCCUCUACCAACACCAGCCAAAGCCAUGACCAGCAUGCCAACAACAAAGCCAAGCCUGGGAGUCAGCCACCGUAGUGGCAAUGCUGACGGACAGAUCUCCUGCCUCAGGGGUUUUCCAGGGUU
Molecule: long non-coding RNA, 1359 nt
Organism: Clupea harengus (Atlantic herring)
Lineage: Eukaryota; Metazoa; Chordata; Actinopteri; Clupeiformes; Clupeidae
Source: Ensembl